This 106-nucleotide small nuclear RNA is filed under the name Phascolarctos cinereus (koala). Lineage: Eukaryota; Metazoa; Chordata; Mammalia; Diprotodontia; Phascolarctidae. The record is from RNAcentral.
AUAUUCACUUCAGUAGCACAUAUACUAAAACUAGAAUGAUACAGAGAAGAUUAGCAUGGCCCCCGCACAAGGAUGUAUGCAAAUUUGUGAAGCAUUUCAUAUUUCU